GACGAACGCUGGCGGCGUGCUUAACACAUGCAAGUCGAACGGAAAGGCCCUGCUUUUGUGGGGUGCUCGAGUGGCGAACGGGUGAGUAACACGUGAGUAACCUGCCCUUGACUUUGGGAUAACUUCAGGAAACUGGGGCUAAUACCGGAUAGGAGCUCCUGCUGCAUGGUGGGGGUUGGAAAGUUUCGGCGGUUGGGGAUGGACUCGCGGCUUAUCAGCUUGUUGGUGGGGUAGUGGCUUACCAAGGCUUUGACGGGUAGCCGGCCUGAGAGGGGGACCGGCCACAUUGGGACUGAGAUACGGCGCAGACUCCUACGGGAGGCAGCAGUGGAGAAUAUUGCACAAUGGGCGGAAGCCUGAUGCAGCAACGCCGCGUGCGGGAUGACGGCCUUCGAGUUGUAAACCGCUUUCGCCUGUGACGAAGCGUGAGUGACGGUAAUGGGUAAAGAAGCACCGGCUAACUACGUG
RNAcentral lists this ribosomal RNA (468 nucleotides) under uncultured bacterium. RNAcentral's name for it is "partial 16S ribosomal RNA". It matches the Rfam family "Bacterial small subunit ribosomal RNA", at positions 28 to 507 of the family's 1533-position model. The record is from RNAcentral.